UUAAAAAGCUCGUAGUUGAAUUUCGGGAUCAAUUAGUCGGUCGUGCCUCUGGUACGUACUGGUUUUAUUGGUUCCUCCCUUCUGACGAAACAUGAUGUCAUUAAUUUGGUGUCGUGGAGAAUCAGGACUGUUACCUUGAAAAAAUUAGAGUGUUUAUAGCAGGCUAACGCUUGAANACAUUAGCAUGGAAUAAUGAAAUAGGACGUUCGACCCUAUUUUGUUGGUUUCUAGGAUCGACGUAAUGAUUAAUAGGGAUAGUUGGGGG
RNAcentral lists this ribosomal RNA (265 nucleotides) under uncultured Glomeromycotina. RNAcentral's name for it is "partial 18S ribosomal RNA". It matches the Rfam family "Eukaryotic small subunit ribosomal RNA", at positions 619 to 888 of the family's 1831-position model. Lineage: Eukaryota; Fungi; Glomeromycota. The record is from RNAcentral.